RNAcentral lists this transfer RNA (73 nucleotides) under Solirubrobacteraceae bacterium. Its description in RNAcentral is "tRNA-Ala". It matches the Rfam family "tRNA". Rfam says of the family: Transfer RNA (tRNA) molecules are approximately 80 nucleotides in length. The record is from RNAcentral. Lineage: Bacteria; Bacillati; Actinomycetota; Thermoleophilia; Solirubrobacterales; Solirubrobacteraceae. RNAcentral also lists the same sequence under 4 other names.
GGGGCUAUAGCUCAGCUGGAAGAGCGCCUGGAUCGCACCCAGGAGGUCGUCGGUUCGAGUCCGACUAGCUCCA